UAUAGACAAGAAAUGAGAGAGAACUGGGAUAGUCUAAGGCCACAUGGAGAUCUGUCUUGCACUAUGUUGACUUAGUUUAGAGGCCCCGGCUGGAGAGGAGUCAGGCCCUUUUCUUGUGGGGUCAAUUAAGUCCGAUCCUCAAUUACCUCCUUGUUUGUCUCUCAGACCCUUGGCCGCUAUUCAGUCGCCAUAUGUGCCUCGGAGCCAGAAACCACAAAAAAAGGUUUUCGCCUACUGCUGCCCUUUAUCCCUCUGGCUCAACUCUGACGCUGGUGCUCCCACGAGUGGCCCCCUGUGGCAUGGCACGCUGUGUUCUCCCCAGGGAACUCUUUAGGAGACAGGAUGUCUGAGGUCAGAAGUUCCCCCUGGUGACCAAACCAGUUAAGACUGAUGAGAUUCAAGAUCCAGCUCAC
This 413-nucleotide long non-coding RNA is filed under the name Homo sapiens (human). RNAcentral describes it as "non-protein coding lnc-ABCA13-1:1". The record is from RNAcentral. Lineage: Eukaryota; Metazoa; Chordata; Mammalia; Primates; Hominidae.